UACGGGGGGGGCAAGCGUUGUUCGGAAUUACUGGGCGUAAAGGGCUCGUAGGCGGCCAACUAAGUCAGACGUGAAAUCCCCAGGCUUAACCUGGGAACUGCGUCUGAUACUGGAUGGCUUGAAUCCGGGAGAGGGAUGCAGAAUUCCAGGUGUAGCGGUGAAAUGCGUAGAUAUCUGGAGGAAUACCGAUGGCGAAGGCAGGUCUCUGGGUCGAUACUGACGCUGAGGCGCGAAAACGUGGGGAGCGAACAGG
This 253-nucleotide ribosomal RNA is filed under the name uncultured bacterium. Its description in RNAcentral is "partial 16S ribosomal RNA". It matches the Rfam family "Bacterial small subunit ribosomal RNA", at positions 524 to 776 of the family's 1533-position model. The record is from RNAcentral.